RNAcentral lists this ribosomal RNA (498 nucleotides) under uncultured bacterium. RNAcentral's name for it is "partial 16S ribosomal RNA". It matches the Rfam family "Bacterial small subunit ribosomal RNA", at positions 355 to 853 of the family's 1533-position model. The record is from RNAcentral.
UGAGGAAUAUUGGUCAAUGGUCGCAAGACUGAACCAGCCAUGCCGCGUGCAGGAAGACGGUCCUAUGGAUUGUAAACUGCUUUUAUACAGGAAGAAACCCCUCCCACGUGUGGGAGCUUGACGGUACUGUAGGAAUAAGGAUCGGCUAACUCCGUGCCAGCAGCCGCGGUAAUACGGAGGAUCCAAGCGUUAUCCGGAAUCAUUGGGUUUAAAGGGGUCCGUAGGCGGUCUUAUAAGUCAGUGGUGAAAGCCCAUCGCUCAACGAUGGAACUGCCAUUGAUACUGUAAGACUUGAAUGCUUAGGAAGUAACUAGAAUAUGUAGUGUAGCGGUGAAAUGCUUAGAUAUUACAUGGAAUACCAAUUGCGAAGGCAGGUUACUACUAAGUGAUUGACGCUGAUGGACGAAAGCGUGGGGAGCGAACAGGAUUAGAUACCCUGGUAGUCCACGCCGUAAACGAUGGAUACUAGCUGUUCGGCGCAAGUUGAGUGGCUAAGCG